This 462-nucleotide ribosomal RNA is filed under the name uncultured bacterium. RNAcentral's name for it is "partial 16S ribosomal RNA". It matches the Rfam family "Bacterial small subunit ribosomal RNA", at positions 28 to 507 of the family's 1533-position model. The record is from RNAcentral.
GAUGAACGCUGACAGAAUGCUUAACACAUGCAAGUCUUUGGCGAAGCUGUGCUUGCACAGCCUAGCCAAGGCGGACGGGUGAGUAACGCGUAAGGAACUUGCCCUGCAGUCAGGGAUAACAGACGGAAACGACUGAUAAGACCUGGUAAAGUCAGGCGGACUCACGUCCAGCCUGAUGAAAAGAGAUGCUGCAGGAGAGCCUUGCGUCCUAUUAGCUUGUUGGUGGGGUAACGGCCCACCAAGGCGAUGAUAGGUAGCCGGCCUGAGAGGGUGGACGGCCACAAGGGGACUGAGAGACGGCCCUUACUCCUACGGGAGGCAGCAGUGGGGAAUAUUGGACAAUGGGGGAACCCUGAUCCAGCAAUUCUGUGUGCACGAUGAAGGUUUUCGGAUUGUAAAGUGCUUUCAGCAGGGAAGAAAAAAAUGACGGUACCUGCAGAAGAAGCGACGGCUAAAUACGUG